This is a long non-coding RNA of Cygnus olor (mute swan), 2429 nucleotides long. RefSeq lists it as uncharacterized. The record is from RefSeq and is a predicted model, not a curated record. Lineage: Eukaryota; Metazoa; Chordata; Aves; Anseriformes; Anatidae. The transcript is spliced from 2 exons.
AACUUCAGGAGGUUUAUUUAAUUUUUAGGGGUACAAAAAAGUCUAAAAACAUCAUGUCUAUACAAUAUAAGUUAUACCUCAUAUUUGGCAAAUAACAUACCGGUUGACAAAGAAAAAAAGAUGACUGGCAGUAACUUAUACCAAGUAUCACUAUGCUCAUGCCUGUGCUCAUAUUGAGUUUCAACAGUGCAAACAGGUAUUUACUUGGUUGCUGUUGUUCUAAUGCAUACACAGAAAACAAUUCAGUGCAUAGAGGUGACUCACUAAUAGUUUAGAGAAAAAAUUACAGAUGCCUCUGCUAUGGCCCGUGAUUGGGAGGUGGUCUAGACUUUAGUCCACUCCAGUCACCAUCUCUGCCUGGGAGCCAGAGGAGGACAAAGUUUAUUUACCAUUCAAAACAAAAUAUUCCCUGGAGAAUCUCUGGAUUCUCUGACUAUCUAACCAUAGUCUGGUUAUCUUAUUUUGGAUGCCUGUAUUACAUUACACAGGAAAGGACAUGCCUUUUGCCAGCUGCUAGGUGAAAAGAGGUAACCAAGCCAGCUAUAAAGGCUGGACUUUCCCAUUCCUUUGCACCACAAAAUAACUACGAUUGCAAAAACUGAGGCUGAUGGAACAUCCACUAGCCUGAACUGUCUGAACAUGGACAUGAAUAUUGCUGAUCCCUCAAUGCUGGAUGAAGACAAAAAUUUGAAACUGACAACCAGGGCAGCGUCAGCCCCAGCCCUUCUUUAUAUUUUCAACUUUUGCCUCAGCGUUAAAGAACAAAUACUUUAACAUUUUAAAGCAGGAUUACUAAAAGCACAGCUUUUGGGGAAAAUAUCAUAGAACUGGGAUUUUUGAAGUAAUUUAGAUCAAUUUAUAGAGAUGGACAGAUGACAAAAUGGAGGUACAAGGGCUGCCCAGAGAAGCUGUGGAUGCCCCAUCCCUGGAGGAGUUUAAGGCCAGGUUGGAUGAGGCCCUGGGCAACCUGAUCUAGUGGGUGGCAUCCCUGCCUACGGCAGUGGGGUUAGAACUAAAUAAGCUUUAAGAUGCCUUCCAACCCAAGCCGUUCUAUGAUUCUAUGACUAUCCCAGUUUCCUCACACUCUUUUCUUUAUUCCUGUAUCUCGCUGAGUUGACCAUCACUGAACAGCAAUCUAUUCAAUAAACCAGAUACUUUCAAAUCCUAGCUUAAAACAAAUUACUGCAAUAUCCUCCACCACCAAGGAAAAUAAUUUUUUUUCCCCCCUAAUAAUUACCCACUAUUUUUUUCUGUGUGUGGAUCAGGGCAUUACACAACUUAUUAAGGAAAUGGAUGAAAAGCUCUACAGCUACGUUUUGUAAUACCAUUAAAGAAUAACCUUUUAUAACUGUCACCUGUCUUCUACUUCAAAGCAGGCACUCUUUGAGGCUCCCCAGUGUUGCUGUUUGUUUUGCAAGUUGUGUGGCAGAGAGGCCCAAGCAAUGAAGAAUGAGAAGAGAAAAAAGCAUCUUCAUCAAGUAUCCUAUCCUAAAUUAGCUGGAGAGUUAUCAGAAGGCUAUUUCCAAACCACAGAAGCAGUGGCACAUUGAUCACCUACAGUAAAAGGACCUUAAACUGAGAUUAUGCUAUGCCUUCUUCAUUUACAGGAAAAUGCUGAUUCUAGAAAAUUUUACAGGUAAACACUGACCUUAAUACACUAGUUUUGAAAUUGAAAGCAGCUUUCGUAAUUAAAUAUGUAACAUUGACAAAGAUGCCACAGUACCAAGAGCUGAAGUAACCUGAAAUAAUUAGCUGGAGAAUUCUCUCAUGGACUAAGGUAGAAAUUAAAAAAACACUGUUCAGUAAUGUUCUUCCACCACUCUCACUGCUACUUAUUUCAGCUCACAAGGAACCCAAUCUCUCCUGUGUCUACAGAUGCACAAAUAACAGGAACAUGUUCCAUUAAACACUGUAUGCCAAAACCUACAUGCAAUUAAGCCUGACCAAACAGUUUCUAGGAACAUGAAGAUAUUUGCUUUCCUGACAAAAAUUUCGCAAACAAAAGCUCCUUACAUAACUACCUAUGCCUUGGGUACAUUUCCAUCAAAAAGAUUCCUUCCCCAGGAAAUAAAAGCGAGCUUCUCCCUCCUCUGACUGAUCAGUAACAUACCUUCAUUUUUGCACAAAGGAAACCACACAAAUACAUUCCUGCAUAACAGAAAAGAAGAAGCUCAGAGUGUUCACUGCUUCCCCACCUCCCCUGGACUGAAAUUAAGCCCAUGCAGAGUCUUUCAGUUCAGGUUCCUCUAUGAAAAUGAGGAAAAACACCUGUGGGUAUGCAAAUGAAAUCAUUCUGCCCUAAGAGGUGCUGCAUUUGAGAAUGGGAAGAUGGAUUUUGGUGAUGCUGACAAUAGGUUGCUAUGCUUCUGUGACCAGCUGAGAUCCAUUUCUCCACCACAGUUAAUAAUAAAAAACUGUAUUCUUUAACG